CCUAUGGAGAGUAUACAACAAUGUGAGUACUGUUUGGAGACAUCCAUCAUGAAAGCAUACUCGAUGAAGUAGGAA
This 75-nucleotide non-coding RNA is filed under the name unclassified sequences. The record is from Rfam.